This is a long non-coding RNA of Ananas comosus (pineapple), 436 nucleotides long. RefSeq lists it as uncharacterized. The transcript is spliced from 2 exons. The record is from RefSeq and is a predicted model, not a curated record. Lineage: Eukaryota; Viridiplantae; Streptophyta; Magnoliopsida; Poales; Bromeliaceae.
CUUCAUUGAUUGCUCCCGCCUUUUGCGGCUCUACUUGAAAUGUUGUGAAUAUUGUUUCAUCUGAAAGUACGAUUGUCAAGGAUGGUGAGGUUAUUUCGGGAUGUGGAAGAAUAAAAUAUUUUUUGUUUGAAAGGUAAUUAGCAAGGUAAGCAGUAAGCUUAUCUUUAGUUCGAAAUUACUUCUUUUAAUUGCAGCAGUAAAAAUUGCAGCCAAUUUAGACGUAGUCCCAAUUGUUGUUGUUGUUGAUCAUUCCUGUGCAAUUCCAACUAUAGCAGGUGGAUAUAAAUGCGUCAAAUUUAAUAUUGUAUUUGAAUUUGCAUAUAAUUACAGCUGCAGUGCUAUUGUAACCACAAACAACUAGAAAGUCUCUCAGGCAUGUUUGCUUUAUUGAAAGUGGAGAGCGGUGAAAUGAUAUUCAAUCGUAAAUUAUUGCUUU